This 814-nucleotide ribosomal RNA is filed under the name uncultured bacterium. RNAcentral's name for it is "bacterial SSU rRNA". It matches the Rfam family "Bacterial small subunit ribosomal RNA", at positions 59 to 868 of the family's 1533-position model. The record is from RNAcentral.
CAGUCGAACGGAGUACCCCUGAAGGAGUUUUCGGACAACUGAUGGGACUACUUAGUGGCGGACGGGUGAGUAACGCGUGAGUAACCUGCCUUGGAGUGGGGAAUAACAGCUGGAAACAGCUGCUAAUACCGCAUAAUAUGUCUGUGUCGCAUGGCACUGGACAUCAAAGAUUUAUCGCUCUGAGAUGGACUCGCGUCUGAUUAGCUAGUUGGCGGGGUAACGGCCCACCAAGGCGACGAUCAGUAGCCGGACUGAGAGGUUGGCCGGCCACAUUGGGACUGAGACACGGCCCAGACUCCUACGGGAGGCAGCAGUGGGGAAUAUUGGGCAAUGGGCGCAAGCCUGACCCAGCAACGCCGCGUGAAGGAAGAAGGCUUUCGGGUUGUAAACUUCUUUUCUCAGGGACGAAGCAAGUGACGGUACCUGAGGAAUAAGCCACGGCUAACUACGUGCCAGCAGCCGCGGUAAUACGUAGGUGGCAAGCGUUAUCCGGAUUUACUGGGUGUAAAGGGCGUGUAGGCGGGACUGCAAGUCAGAUGUGAAAACCACGGGCUCAACCUGUGGCCUGCAUUUGAAACUGUAGUUCUUGAGUACUGGAGAGGCAGACGGAAUUCCUAGUGUAGCGGUGAAAUGCGUAGAUAUUAGGAGGAACACCAGUGGCGAAGGCGGUCUGCUGGACAGCAACUGACGCUGAGGCGCGAAAGCGUGGGGAGCAAACAGGAUUAGAUACCCUGGUAGUCCACGCUGUAAACGAUGGAUACUAGGUGUGGGGGGGACUGACCCCCUCCGUGCCGCAGUUAACACAAUAAGUAUC